GGCCUCCCAAAGUGCUGGGAUUACAGGCGUGAGCCACCAUGCCCGGCCAGCAUCUAUAAUAUAUGCUAAACCUUACCCACAGCUGCCUCUGUCUUGGGGUCAGGGUUCUUGAAUGGUCUGGGCCAGCCUGAGUUAGGAGUGGGAAGAGGAAGAGGAGGCACGCGCCAAAGUGUUCUUCCCGCCUGACCGAGUCCUCUGCGCCUAUGAGGAAGGUGGGCACCGCUGUCACCCUGUUUCCCAGGAAGCCAGCAGGCCCAGGGAGAUACUGGGAUUUGCCAAAGGCUCACAGCGAGCAAGCAGCAGUGGGUGCUGGCUCCUCACCACUCAGCCUGGCACACACUGUCUCUGAGCAGACCUGGGAGAAGGCAUGUGAAACCCACCUAGCCCUGGCUGGAAGAGAAGUGGGGGAGUGGAAAUGAAAAGUGGGGACUGGGAGGAGCUGCCCACGUGCCCUCCAUGGUUCCAGGAUGGCACUUUCAUGCUGGGAGUGAGCUUGCCCUGUGCCAGGCUGUCAUUGAGACGUUUUCCAUUCAACAACUGUUUCUCAGACAAGGCACAGGCAGGUUAGCUCUCCCAGGCCACUCAAGUAGUAAGGAAACAGAUUUAAACCCAGACAAUUUGGCUCCACGGCUAAGGCCCAGAGAGGGGUGGUGACAAGCCUAGGGUCACACAGCCACAGCCCCAGAGCUAGGAACUGCUGGCUAGGGCAAGCAGACAGCUGAAUCCUAGCCAACUGGAGGUGGAGCAGAGGUGGAGCCAGGGAGACCCAGGUGGCCUCUCUCAGAGUGGAGCACAGGUGGCAGAGUGGCCCGGGGCAGCAUGAAGUGGUGCUGGGGCCCAGUGCUGCUCAUCGCGGGUGCCACAGUCCUCAUGGAGGGUAAGCCGCCAUGUGCUGGGGUAUGGGUGUGGCCUGGUGGGGGCUCAGGGGCCAUCUCUGCCCCAGCAGUCCCUGCUUCUUGGUGGGGGGACCGCCUGUGGGCGACAGUCCACCAGUGGGGAUGUAACUCCGUAGGACUCUGUGGGGUGGUAUAUGUGGCCACCUGUGUCAACAUGGAUGAGAUUUUCUCGGGCCAGCUGCAGUUUGCGUUGGCGGGGCCUGUGGUCUUGUGUGUGUGUGAGGUGCUGCCUGCGUGUGUCCUGUGCCUGCCUCCCCCUCGACUUCCACAAUGACGUCAGGCAAACUCUGGGCUCCUCUGGCCUCAGUUUCCCUUUCUUUUCAUCCAUCCUCUGGGCAGCCUGGCUCAGCUGUCUCAUGGGGUGCCUGUGUGCCUGUGAGGGGCGGUGGGCAGGGGCCCUCUCUCUGGCGGGCUCUCAGACAGUUUCUGGGAAGGUGGGGAAGACUGAGUCUCUAGACCAGGGUGAGGUAAGUCUCCAUUUCUUGGGGCCCUCCCCACUUGGAAAUGAUGCAGGCCUCUAAUCCUUCCUCUUAGGCCUCUGCUGCUAAGAGGACAAUUAAGCUAAUGCUCUCUACACACACAGGCCGCCUGGCUGACUCAGUGGCGGGGGCAGGAGUUGGGGGUUCUGAAGCCUGGAGGAGGGCUGGCCUACUCCCAAGCUGAACCCCAAGCCCCAGAGUGCUGAGCACAGCUGAAGGAGAAUUAAUUACUGAGUGUGCACACUGAAUAGGUUCCAAUAAAAGCUGUCUCGGCCUCAUAUAAAUAUUUUCAUUCUGGGAGGGGCUGGUAAGGUAAUCAGAGUCACAGGCAAGGACCCUGGGCCCGCCCCCCAGCCCAUCCCCUCUCCUCCCCAAAGCUAGGCAGGCCUGGAGUCCCUGCAUCUUACCUGUGUCUCUCUCUUCCCAGGUCUUCAAGCCGCUCAGCGUGGUAAGGUCUGGGGACACGGGGCCUAGGUCUUACUUGGGUCUGGGUUGGGACUGGGGUGAGGUCAGGACAGGUAUCUGCUGUCAGUGUGACUAACUCCUUUCCACAGCCUGUGGACAGCGUGGCCCCGGCCCCCCCAAGCCUCAGGAGGGCAACACAGUCCCUGGCGAGUGGCCCUGGCAGGCCAGUGUGAGGAGGCAAGGAGCCCACAUCUGCAGCGGCUCCCUGGUGGCAGACACCUGGGUCCUCACUGCUGCCCACUGCUUUGAAAAGUAAGUCAUGGCUGGGGUCAGGCAGGGUCUCCGGCUCUGGGGAGUGGACAAUUUGUCUCAAGCCCCACAAGGCUAGUCCCUGCCUCUAGAGUAAUAAUAAAGAACCAUUUACUGAGAAUCUGCCAUGUACUGGGUACAUAUUGUCAAGUUAAUUGUAACAACCACCUUUCAUGGUAGAAGAUUUACAAAUCAGAAAACUCAGGUUGCAAGGGAAUGACCUCGCUUAAAGUCACAGACUGAGGCCGGGCACAGUAGCUCACGCUUGUAAUCCCAGCCCUUUGGGAGGCCACGGAGGGAGGAUCGCUUGAGCCCAAGAGUUCAAGACUAGCCUGUGCAACAUAGCAAGACCAUGUCUCUACAAAAACUGUAAAAUUAGCCAGGCAUGGUGGUGCACGCCUGUAGUCCCAGCUACUCACGAGGCUGAGGUGGGAGGAUCGCUUGAGCCUGGGAGGUCAAGGCUUGUAGUGAGUCAUGGUCAUGCCACUGCACUGCAGCCUGGGCGACAGGACGAGACCCUACCUCAAAAAGAAAAAGCCGUGGAGUGCUCUCUGCUAUCUUCCACCUACCUGUGGGGUCUCCCAUGGUGUCACUGUCUACCCUUGCACUCAGCAGCCUGGACCUUGUCCUUCCCCUUCCAGGGCAGCAGCAACAGAACUGAAUUCCUGGUCAGUGGUCCUGGGUUCUCUGCAGCGUGAGGGACUCAGCCCUGGGGCCGAAGAGGUGGGGGUGGCUGCCCUGCAGUUGCCCAGGGCCUAUAACCACUACAGCCAGGGCUCAGACCUGGCCCUGCUGCAGCUCGCCCACCCCACGACCCACACACCCCUCUGCCUGCCCCAGCCCGCCCAUCGCUUCCCCUUUGGAGCCUCCUGCUGGGCCACUGGCUGGGAUCAGGACACCAGUGAUGGUAAGUGCUGGCCCAGACUGAAGCUCGGAGAGGCACUCUGCUUGCCCAGCGUCACAGUCUCAGCUCCCAACUGUCCUGGCUUCCAGUCUCCCUUGCUUCCCAGAUCCCAGACUCUAGCCCCAGCCCCGUCUCUUUCACCAGCUCCUGGGACCCUACGCAAUCUGCGCCUGCGUCUCAUCAGUCGCCCCACAUGUAACUGUAUCUACAACCAGCUGCACCAGCGACACCUGUCCAACCCGGCCCGGCCUGGGAUGCUAUGUGGGGGCCCCCAGCCUGGGGUGCAGGGCCCCUGUCAGGUCUGAUAGGGAGAAGAGAAGGAGCAGAAGGGGAGGGGCCUAACCCUGGGCUGGGGGUUGGACUCACAGGACUGGGGGAAAGACCUGCAAUCAGAGGGUGUCUGCCAUAGCUGGGCUCAGGCAUCUGUCCUUGGCUUUGUUGCCUGGCUCCAGGGAGAUUCCGGGGGCCCUGUGCUGUGCCUCGAGCCUGACGGACACUGGGUUCAGGCUGGCAUCAUCAGCUUUGCAUCAAGCUGUGCCCAGGAGGACGCUCCUGUGCUGCUGACCAACACAGCUGCUCACAGUUCCUGGCUGCAGGCUCGAGUUCAGGGGGCAGCUUUCCUGGCCCAGAGCCCAGAGACCCCGGAGAUGAGUGAUGAGGACAGCUGUGUAGCCUGUGGAUCCUUGAGGACAGCAGGUCCCCAGGCAGGAGCACCCUCCCCAUGGCCCUGGGAGGCCAGGCUGAUGCACCAGGGACAGCUGGCCUGUGGCGGAGCCCUGGUGUCAGAGGAGGCGGUGCUAACUGCUGCCCACUGCUUCAUUGGGUGAGUCUUGGAUCCCUCUCUGCUGUGCCCCCUGCCCCUGCCGGCAGCCCUGUCACCUGGUGCCGUCCACACUGCCUCUGCACAGGCGCCAGGCCCCAGAGGAAUGGAGCGUAGGGCUGGGGACCAGACCGGAGGAGUGGGGCCUGAAGCAGCUCAUCCUGCAUGGAGCCUACACCCACCCUGAGGGGGGCUACGACAUGGCCCUCCUGCUGCUGGCCCAGCCUGUGACACUGGGAGCCAGCCUGCGGCCCCUCUGCCUGCCCUAUCCUGACCACCACCUGCCUGAUGGGGAGCGUGGCUGGGUUCUGGGACGGGCCCGCCCAGGAGCAGGUAGGUGGGCACAGGGCCAGGGCUGCUGUCCAUCCAACCUGCAGGCCGGGGCAGCCAGCUUUCCCUUGCUCCACAGGCAUCAGCUCCCUCCAGACAGUGCCCGUGACCCUCCUGGGGCCUAGGGCCUGCAGCCGGCUGCAUGCAGCUCCUGGGGGUGAUGGCAGCCCUAUUCUGCCGGGGAUGGUGUGUACCAGUGCUGUGGGUGAGCUGCCCAGCUGUGAGGUGAGCCCCAGGCCCCCACACCUUACCUAACAGGCCCCUGGCAUCCCCUCACCCAAUAGCUCAAGAACGGACCUUCCAGGCUUGGCCUCUGGACCCACCUCCCACCUGAAACUAAGCCUUUUUGCCAAUUAGCCCCCAAACAGCCAGAGGUUCCCUAGCCUGCUCUACCGUCCUGCACAGCUGCCUAUAAAAAGUCACCCAGUGUCACCUGACCCCUGACAGGGCCUGUCUGGGGCACCACUGGUGCAUGAGGUGAGGGGCACAUGGUUCCUGGCCGGGCUGCACAGCUUCGGAGAUGCUUGCCAAGGCCCCGCCAGGCCGGCGGUCUUCACCGCGCUCCCUGCCUAUGAGGACUGGGUCAGCAGUUUGGACUGGCAGGUCUACUUCGCCGAGGAACCAGAGCCCGAGGCUGAGCCUGGAAGCUGCCUGGCCAACAUAAGUAUGUGGCCCCGGGGCCUCCUGCCAAACCCUGCCUCUCCAGGACCCUUCUCUCUCCAGUGAGAACGUGCCGUUCUAACCCACUCCAGCUGCCUUGGGUAGGGUGGAGCAACAGGCAGACCCAUUUGAUUCAGAUUCUGGUUCUUUGUCAUCGUGUGACUUGGAGCAGGCUGCUCAACCGCUUUGAGCCUCAGUAUUCUCAUCUGUCAUGGCGGCCAAGACAGACCCUGUUCCUUCGAGGAAUGGGGAGGGAGGGAGGGACCAAAGCCGUGAGGAUGAGGACAACUCCACCCUCCUUCCUUCCCCACAGGCCAACCAACCAGCUGCUGACAGGGGACCUGGCCAUUCUCAGGACAAGAGAAUGCAGGCAGGCAAAUGGCAUUACUGCCCCUGUCCUCCCCACCCUGUCAUGUGUGAUUCCAGGCACCAGGGCAGGCCCAGAAGCCCAGCAGCUGUGGGAAGGAACCUGCCUGGGGCCACAGGUGCCCACUCCCCACCCUGCAGGACAGGGGUGUCUGUGGACACUCCCACACCCAACUCUGCUACCAAGCAGGCGUCUCAGCUUUCCUCCUCCUUUACCCUUUCAGAUACAAUCACGCCAGCCACGUUGUUUUGAAAAUUUCUUUUUUUGGGGGGCAGCAGUUUUCCUUUUUUUAAACUUAAAUAAAUUGUUACAAAAUAGA
This 5489-nucleotide long non-coding RNA is filed under the name Homo sapiens (human). RNAcentral describes it as "non-protein coding lnc-PRSS53-1:1". The record is from RNAcentral. Lineage: Eukaryota; Metazoa; Chordata; Mammalia; Primates; Hominidae.